AUGGUGGCGCGAUUCCGUGAGCCUGUCGUCAGGAUCCUGGGGGCCGGCCUCAGCGUCGGUCAGGUGGCUGCCGUUGCACACGCCAAGGACGCCGCCAGCGUCACCGUCGACGAGGCGCGCGUCCGCGUCCAGGCCUGCAUCGACUGGAUCGUCCACUCGGUGGCAAACGGCGGUGACAUCUACGGCGUCACCACAGGCUUCGGUGACAUCUACGAAGGAAAAUGCAGACAAUAA
This 234-nucleotide ribosomal RNA is filed under the name Triticum aestivum (bread wheat). RNAcentral's name for it is "partial small subunit ribosomal RNA". The record is from RNAcentral. Lineage: Eukaryota; Viridiplantae; Streptophyta; Magnoliopsida; Poales; Poaceae.